This 49-nucleotide transfer RNA is filed under the name Oxyopes licenti. RNAcentral's name for it is "tRNA-Ile". The record is from RNAcentral. Lineage: Eukaryota; Metazoa; Arthropoda; Arachnida; Araneae; Oxyopidae.
AAUAAGGUGCCUGAUUAAAGGGCUAAUUUGAUAGAUUAGAUUAUGAAUU